UGGGAACGUAGAUUCAGGAGGUUGCUGGGAAACAGGUAGAUUUCUGAGGAGUGAAUGUCCAGUUCAAGAAACGGACGACAA
This is a regulatory RNA element of Epulopiscium sp. Nele67-Bin005, 81 nucleotides long. It matches the Rfam family "S10-Clostridia ribosomal protein leader". The record is from Rfam. NCBI's taxonomy places the organism in Bacteria, Bacillati, Bacillota, Clostridia, Lachnospirales, Lachnospiraceae.